GGUUGCGUGGCCUAAUGGAAGGGCGUCUGAGAGUGGAUCAGAAGAUUCUGGGUUCAAGUCCCGGCGUAGCCG
Non-coding RNA from Fusarium irregulare, 72 nucleotides. The record is from the annotation of a GenBank genome assembly. Lineage: Eukaryota; Fungi; Ascomycota; Sordariomycetes; Hypocreales; Nectriaceae.